This 505-nucleotide ribosomal RNA is filed under the name uncultured bacterium. Its description in RNAcentral is "partial 16S ribosomal RNA". It matches the Rfam family "Bacterial small subunit ribosomal RNA", at positions 28 to 507 of the family's 1533-position model. The record is from RNAcentral.
GACGAACGCUGGCGGCGUGCCUAAUACAUGCAAGUAGAACGCACAGUUUAUACCGUAGCUUGCUACACCAUAAACUGUGAGUUGCGAACGGGUGAGUAACGCGUAGGUAACCUGCCUGGUAGCGGGGGAUAACUAUUGGAAACGAUAGCUAAUACCGCAUAAUAUUAAUUAUUGCAUGAUAAUUGAUUGAAAGAUGCAAUUGCAUCACUACCAGAUGGACCUGCGUUGUAUUAGCUAGUAGGUGAGGUAACGGCUCACCUAGGCGACGAUACAUAGCCGACCUGAGGGGGUGAUCGGCCACACUGGGACUGGGACACGGCCCCGACUCCUACGGGAGGCAGCAGUAGGGAAUCUUCGGCAAUGGACGAAAGUCUGACCGAGCAACGCCGCGUGAGUGAAGAAGGUUUUCGGAUCGUAAAGCUCUGUUGUAGGAGAAGAACGGGUGUGAGAGUGGAAAGUUCACACUGUGACGGUAUCUUACCAGAAAGGGACGGCUAACUACGUG